ACGACUACACUCCUACGGGAGGCAGCAGUGGGGAAUAUUGCACAAUGGGCGCAAGCCUGAUGCAGCCAUGCCGCGUGUAUGAAGAAGGCCUUCGGGUUGUAAAGUACUUUCAGCGGGGAUAAAGGGAGUAAAGUUAAUACCUUUGCUCAUUGACGUUACCCGCAGAAGAAGCACCGGCUAACUCCGUGCCAGCAGCCGCGGUAAUACGGAGGGUGCAAGCGUUAAUCGGAAUUACUGGGCGUAAAGCGCACGCAGGCGGUUUGUUAAGUCAGAUGUGAAAUCCCCGGGCUCAACCUGGGAACUGCAUCUGAUACUGGCCAGCUUGAGUCUCGUAGAGGGGGGUAGAAUUCCAGGUGUAGCGGUGAAAUGCGUAGAGAUCUGGAGGAAUACCGGUGGCGAAGGCGGCCCCCUGGACGAAGACUGACGCUCAGGUGCGAAAGCGUGGGGAGCAAACAGGAUUAGUUACCCGAGUAGUCAACCAAUCC
RNAcentral lists this ribosomal RNA (485 nucleotides) under uncultured bacterium. RNAcentral's name for it is "bacterial SSU rRNA". It matches the Rfam family "Bacterial small subunit ribosomal RNA", at positions 327 to 801 of the family's 1533-position model. The record is from RNAcentral.